RNAcentral lists this ribosomal RNA (273 nucleotides) under uncultured bacterium. RNAcentral describes it as "partial 16S ribosomal RNA". It matches the Rfam family "Bacterial small subunit ribosomal RNA", at positions 524 to 796 of the family's 1533-position model. The record is from RNAcentral.
UACGGAGGGGGUUAGCGUUGUUCGGAAUUACUGGGCGUAAAGCGCGCGUAGGCGGAUUAGUCAGUUAGAGGUGAAAUCCCAGGGCUCAACCCUGGAACUGCCUUUAAUACUGCUAGUCUUGAGUUCGAGAGAGGUGAGUGGAAUUCCGAGUGUAGAGGUGAAAUUCGUAGAUAUUCGGAGGAACACCAGUGGCGAAGGCGGCUCACUGGCUCGAUACUGACGCUGAGGUGCGAAAGUGUGGGGAGCAAACAGGAUUAGAUACCCCGGUAGUCC